GCCACAGACAUAUCACCCUGCAGCCCAAGACUAGUUACCUACUGAAGCUAAGCAGGGUUGAGCCUGGUCAGUACCUGGAUGGGAGACCUCCUGGGAAAACUAGUUUGCUGCUGGAA
This 116-nucleotide ribosomal RNA is filed under the name Sinocyclocheilus grahami. The record is from RNAcentral. Lineage: Eukaryota; Metazoa; Chordata; Actinopteri; Cypriniformes; Cyprinidae.